GAGAACAGAACGCUGUCGUCCUACACAACUUCCUCCCUCGCGUCUCGUUCUUUUCUUCCCCCGACUGGCGGCUAGGGUUCCCAUCGGCGGUACCGCAGCCGCCGCCACUGGAGAAGGCGGCAAGGCGCCCUUCUGAGAUGCUCUUCUCCUCCAAACUUUUCGUCUUCGCAGCAAGGUGUCAUUCCAUCCCGUCACCAUGGUGGUUGCAGAGGAGGGGAGGAAGGGGAUGGCAUCGAGGUGCCGACGGAGCACAUAGGUCGAGGCGGCAAGAUGCAGAGGUGCGGGUGGUGCGAACGGAGAGGCAACUCCAUACCCGCGCGCAGUCGCCUGCCCUCUCCUUCCUCCUCUGCCUUCCCUCUCCUCCAGUCAGCGCCGCCACCACUGCCACGCCUCGCCGCUACACUAUUCCUGCAGCGGUGACCCCGUGGAGGAGCAGAUCGACCACAACGGUUUAAAGUUCUCUGCUAGGUUUGGAGCUACUACUCCAUCUUCGAUCCCAGCCAUCUCGCACCCCCCUGAAAAUUUCUGGAGAUAGCAAGACAUGAACUACUGACCGUCUCGGGCUGACAGCUGAGGGAGAGGGGGAGGACAGCUGCCGCUGCUUCUCUCGAGCCCUUGUUGCUGGUGUGGUGGAUCUGCUCCGAGCCCCUCAAGCCACCCAUCUUCAAGAUUGUCGCAAGGUUGAGACUAGAGUCCAACUCUGAGCUCUGAGCUCCAGGGGAGUGACCAACUCAUGGCGUGGUGUCUGCUUGCUGUAGGUAUACUCAUCCGCAAUACCCAGCUCUCUUCUCGUGCACUUCUUCUUGAUCAUCAUGUCUCUGAAUCCCGCAUGUAUGUUCUCUCUUCCUUCACCAUCCUUCUAGGAGUAUUCGACAAGUAAUCUCUUUUUCUCAAAUAUCCAUAGUUCACAGGACUGGUGAUUGCUUAGCAAAGCAUUUGAACAAUUUAACUGAUGCUCAUGAUUGUAAACUGCAUGAUACAGAGCACCCUAACGAGUUUAUAUAUGUCAUCAUUGAAGAAAAUGUGAUCAGCGAAGGAGUUUCCUUUUAUUAAAAUAAAUUGGAAUAUAACUUUGAUUUAGUAAUACGCUCUUCAUGAUUUAUUUUCGUAUGGCUUCAGUCUGAGGGCAAUGAGCACUGGAGGUUUCAUAGCCACUCUUGAGUUAAUGCUGACCUUGCCUAAAAAAAUGCCCACAUCCCAUAUAGGCCAGUAUUAUUCAAUAUCCACAUGCCUCAACAUGUACAGUGCACAGUUACUUACAGAAGUAAACCCUCAGCUCACUCUAACCUUUUGUUGUCAAAUGUAGGAACUCCAAGCUAACUCAUAUAUCAAUCCUAUUUUCCUGUAACUAUUUUAGGUGCAUCUACUUGAUUUCUCCUUUUGGUUUAGGGAAAGUUUCAAGGAUCACUACUUUUGGAUUCUUAAUUGAUGUUUUUUGUGUGGCAAUCAAACGAGAGAGCAUCCAAUAUCUGUUACCUACUCUCUCCGUUCCAAAAUAGAUGACUCAACUUUAUACUAUUUUGGAACGGAGGGAGUACAUUGGAGGCCGAUGCAUUAGAUUUCACCAUCUUCAUCUAUUUUGUUUCAAGAUCAUUGUUAUUUUGAUUCAAGAUAUUUUCUCAUUGUGAUGGAAGAUAGAAAAGGAUGGUUGUAGAAAGACAAUUAUUUUACUUGGAGUUUUUUUUCUGUGUUUGCAUUGAAAUAAUAAUGUUCAACAGCAGAUAUAGCUUGCAGUCAAGAUACCACACAAAUAGAAUUCAGUUUUACUUAAAGGAGCUUGCCAACCUAAUUUUGGUUCUGGCUGCAGCACAAUGCAGAUUUUGAUUUGGUUUGCUUGCAAGAGAUUUGUUAUUUUGAUUAUUUUAUUCACUAUUCUAUAUGAUUGUCCUUUACUUUGGAACUAAACAAGCUCCAUUUUCUGUCUUUUACAUUGCAUUCUUUCUUGGUUAACUGAACUUUUCUGUUCUCAUUUCUUCCAUUUAAUGACGUGAAUAUUUUUGAUGAGACGAUAGAUGUUCUUUCGGUCUUCUUGGUUAAAUGAACUUCUCUUUUCUUCAUGUUUGGCCACAAUGAAUACUUGCUCAUACCGAACUAUAAUUGCAAAUGGUUUGCGCAUGAACGAGCAUAGGCUGCAUUGCAUUCUUUUGUGGGAGAACAACAAGGAACUGGAGACGAAAUUGGAAGACAACAGGUCUAUCCUCUGAACUUUUUUUAUUUGUACCAGAUCUUAAUAGUUUGAGAUGUGUAAAUCUUAUGUCUUCGUUUACAUGACAGUUGCAUGUUGAUAUAUAGCAUCGUUGUUUAUUUUAUACGUUCGAUAUCUCUUGUCAUUUCAAAUUUUCAAUACUGAGUCCACCAUCUUCCCCGAGUCAGUGGAAACCUACAGAGCUGCAAUUUUUUAACAGACUGUCAUAUUAAGCUAUUGUCCAAUGUUUAUAUUGGUAAGUGGCAACAUCAUCUAUCUUAUAGUUAGUGGCAUUUUUGCUUCGCAGGGAGUGAGUUGAAGGUACCUGAACAAGUCACCUGUACGUAUUGUCCCAUGUGCUGUCUGCUUACAUAGCUCUGUUGCCACAGAAGGAUGCAAACAUGAGUUCUGCAUGAGAUGUGUGCCACGUACAUUUGCUUGACCAGCUACACAUUGGUGAACCCAACAGGCGCUAUUAUCGUGCCCACUCUGUCGGCACCCGAUCAUCUCGUCGUCAUUCUGCACGACGAGCCUAGCGGUUUCCUCGGACUUCACCGCCCCCGGGGACCGGGCCACCGAGCUCCGUUGUGGUGCUGGUGCCCACAUGUUGUCGAUGGGCUUGAUGAGAACGGGAUGAUGCUACCGUUGGUGCGGAGCCAUUGCGCCAUCGUCAACCACGCACGACGGGAGUAGCUCUUUGAGGAGAUUGAGACUGAGGAUGACAAGGAGUUGAACCAGCACGAUGCCGAUGCCAAAAAGUCACAUGUCGACAGCUCUCGCGGGUUGGCGCUGCCGCCAACGACGACGAGGCAAGCGGCUUCGGCUCGGGGCGCGUCGAAGUAGUCUUUUUUCUUUGGCUUUUAGUCUUUAUUAUGCUCGGUGUCAAUCUUUUACGUUGUAAAAAGCCUUGCAUACACUUGUGCCAAGAAUGGACCAAACAAGAAAAUGAAAGGGGCGCUAUCCCACCUCGCACCGCCAAGGUUCCACCUAGCCCCAACCACUAGUAUCUUUUACAACUCGUUUGGCUCCUGUCUUUUGACUCGGAUUUCACGGAUUUCAUUUCCGAAUUCCGGCCCUGACUUGUUUGGGUGUCACGAAACUAUACCCAUAAUUUCAUUUCCUAAUUCUAUCGAAUCCAUCUAUAUAUGGCCUAAUGCGUUGUUCAAGGCUAAUUUUGACCAAAUGUUAGAGCAAUAAUAUAUAUCAUGCAAGUUACACGAAGUA
Long non-coding RNA from Triticum aestivum (bread wheat), 3409 nucleotides. RefSeq lists it as uncharacterized. The transcript is spliced from 4 exons. The record is from RefSeq and is a predicted model, not a curated record. NCBI's taxonomy places the organism in Eukaryota, Viridiplantae, Streptophyta, Magnoliopsida, Poales, Poaceae.